This 254-nucleotide ribosomal RNA is filed under the name uncultured bacterium. Its description in RNAcentral is "partial 16S ribosomal RNA". It matches the Rfam family "Bacterial small subunit ribosomal RNA", at positions 524 to 776 of the family's 1533-position model. The record is from RNAcentral.
CACGUAGGGGGCAAGCGUUGUCCGGAUUUAUUGGGCGUAAAGAGCUCGUAGGCUGUUCGGUAAGUCGGGUGUGAAACCCCCAGGCUCAACCUGGGGACGCCACCUGAUACUGCUGUGACUCGAGUCCGGUAGGGGAGCGUGGAAUUCCUGGUGUAGCGGUGAAAUGCGCAGAUAUCAGGAGGAACACCAGCGGCGAAGGCGGCGCUCUGGGCCGGUACUGACGCUGAGGAGCGAAAGCGUGGGUAGCAAACAGG